RNAcentral lists this ribosomal RNA (763 nucleotides) under uncultured Fusobacterium sp. RNAcentral's name for it is "bacterial SSU rRNA". It matches the Rfam family "Bacterial small subunit ribosomal RNA", at positions 28 to 776 of the family's 1533-position model. Lineage: Bacteria; Fusobacteriati; Fusobacteriota; Fusobacteriia; Fusobacteriales; Fusobacteriaceae. The record is from RNAcentral.
GACGAACGCUGGCGGCGUGCCUAAUACAUGCAAGUAGAACGCUGAAGGAGGAGCUUGCUCUUCUGGAUGAGUUGCGAACGGGUGAGUAACGCGUAGGUAACCUGCCUGGUAGCGGGGGAUAACUAUUGGAAACGAUAGCUAAUACCGCAUAAGAGUAGAUGUUGCAUGACAUUUGCUUAAAAGGUGCAAUUGCAUCACUACCAGAUGGACCUGCGUUGUAUUAGCUAGUUGGUGAGGUAACGGCUCACCAAGGCAACGAUACAUAGCCGACCUGAGAGGGUGAUCGGCCACACUGGGACUGAGACACGGUCCAGACUCCUACGGGAGGCAGCAGUGGGGAAUAUUGGACAAUGGGCGAAAGCCUGAUCCAGCCAUGCCGCGUGUGUGAAGAAGGUCUUCGGAUUGUAAAGCACUUUAAGUUGGGAGGAAGGGCAGUAAGUUAAUACCUUGCUGUUUUGACGUUACCAACAGAAUAAGCACCGGCUAACUUCGUGCCAGCAGCCGCGGUAAUACGAAGGGUGCAAGCGUUAAUCGGAAUUACUGGGCGUAAAGCGCGCGUAGGUGGUUCAGCAAGUUGGAUGUGAAAUCCCCGGGCUCAACCUGGGAACUGCAUCCAAAACUACUGAGCUAGAGUACGGUAGAGGGUGGUGGAAUUUCCUGUGUAGCGGUGAAAUGCGUAGAUAUAGGAAGGAACACCAGUGGCGAAGGCGACCACCUGGACUGAUACUGACACUGAGGUGCGAAAGCGUGGGGAGCAAACAGG